GACGAACGCUGGCGGCGUGCUUAACACAUGCAAGUCGAACGGAAAGGCCCUGCGUUUUUGGGGUGCUCGAGGGGCGAAGGGGUGAGGAACACGUAAGUAACCGGCCCUUGACUUUGGGGUAAGUUCAGGUAACGGGGGCUAAGACCGUAUAGGAUCUCCUGCUGCAGGGUAGGGGGUGGAAAUUUUCGGCGUUUGGGGAUGGACGCGCGGCUUAUCAACUUGUUGGUGGGGUAGGGGAUGACCAAGGAUUUGACGGGUAGCCGGCCGGAGAGGGUGGCCGGCCACAUUGGGACUGAGAUACGGCCCAGACUGCUACGGGAGGCAGCAGUGGGGAAUAUUGUACAACGGGAGGAAGCCUGAUGAAGAAACGCCGCGUGCGGGAUGACGGCCUUCGGGUUGUAAACCGCUUUCGCCUGUGACGAAGCGUGAGUGACGGUAAUGGGUAAAGAAGCACCGGCUAACUACGUG
This 468-nucleotide ribosomal RNA is filed under the name uncultured bacterium. RNAcentral describes it as "partial 16S ribosomal RNA". It matches the Rfam family "Bacterial small subunit ribosomal RNA", at positions 28 to 507 of the family's 1533-position model. The record is from RNAcentral.